This 252-nucleotide ribosomal RNA is filed under the name uncultured bacterium. Its description in RNAcentral is "partial 16S ribosomal RNA". It matches the Rfam family "Bacterial small subunit ribosomal RNA", at positions 524 to 776 of the family's 1533-position model. The record is from RNAcentral.
UACGUAGGGGGCAAGCGUUGUCCGGAAUUAUUGGGCGUAAAGUGCGCGCAGGCGGCUUUGUAAGUUUGGUGUUUAAUCUCAGAGCUCAACUCUGAUUCGCAUCGAAAACUGCAAAGCUUGAGUACAGAAGAGGAAAGUGGAAUUCCACGUGUAGCGGUGAAAUGCGUAGAGAUGUGGAGGAACACCAGUGGCGAAGGCGACUUUCUGGGCUGUAACUGACGCUGAGGCGCGAAAGCGUGGGGAGCAAACAGG